CUUUCGCCGGGCAGGUCCCGCGGGAGGCCGCCUCCGGGCUCCUCCGCGCGCCGGUGUCCCCCUGCCACCAGUCGCCCCGGCCCACGCUGGCGGAGCCCAACCCAGCCGGUCCAGGCGCCCGCAUCAAGUUCCGUCCUGAGGCCCCGCGGCGCCCUCCGCGGGCCGAUGUCCGGGCCGGCUGGUCCUCGGGUCACCCGGGGUCCGCGCCUCGGCCCCGCCCCGCCGCGCGCUGGUGCUCCGAGGCCGCUGGCUCGGUGCCCGGCCUUCCUCGAGCCCCUUCGGGGCAGGAUCCUGCUAAAUUGUUGAGGCUGGCCUCAAACUUGGAAUCCUCCUUCCUCAGCCUCCUGUGUCACUGGAAUUAAAGUGCUCAUCACCACACCCAGCAAAGGAGUCAUUUUUCCGUUGUUUUUGUCUCUACAAGGCAAAUAAAUUUGAAAUGACCAAUCUAAAUAAACUAAGAUCUUUUUUCUUGCCAGGUGUGGUGGUGCAUGCCUGUGAUCCCAGCUACUCAGGAGGCUGAGUCAGGAGCAGGAGGAUUGAAGGUUCCAGGUCAGCCUGGGCGGUUUAGCAAGACCCUGUCAAAACAACAAGAAGUGCGGCGGGGUGAAGCUCAGGCAGUGUGCUCCAGGGUUCCAUCCCCGGUGCCCAGAGGCCGUGGGGUGAGGCACUGACUGCUGGCUGAUUUUUUUUUCUGGACUCUUAUGAUUGACUGGUGAGCAACUAUGGACUGGUAAGUGCUUUCUUGGCUUAAUUGCCACUUUGCAAGAGAUGGGUUUUUCCUUUCUCUUGCUGGACAACUGUUCCAAACGCAAGAGAAAAAAACGUCGAUAUCUGGCGGAUGGAGGUGGGGGAGGGAAGCAGGGAUUUUCUCUCUUCCCUCAGGCCUCGGGCCUCAGGUUCAUUGCCAGAGCUCCGGGUGGUGGUAGGUGAGGGCUACUCUUUCUGUUCUUGAAACUCCAAGUUCACGUUGGCAAAGCUGCUUUGUUCUACCCCAACCUGUUAUCCAACCCUGAUAUAAAACCAACGUCUCCACAUUUCUCAAGACGACCCAAAGUGGUCAGGAGCACGAAGGUGACUGAUGCUGGGGCAGCACUGAGGCAAGAGGAUGGUGAUCCGGGCCGGCCUGGGCACCUUGGCCAGAGUGCUUGCCAAGCAGGUGUGAGGCCCUGGAAUAGCCAGCAGCACACUUAGUAAAAAUGGCACACUUUUGUCAACAGUAUAGAGGUCACACCUAUGAUGGUUUUUUAUUCACGUACAAAGAGACAAUAUCAUGUAAAAUUCCAAACAGAAGUGCACUUGAGCAGGGUGACACAUUCCACGUGACUCCGAAGACCGAGGUUCAAUCCAAGGUUAAUUAGGUGAGAACUAUUUGGAAUGGCAACGUUAUGAGUUGUAUAUUCCUAGCAUGCGCACCGAGUGACUCAUAUCUAAGUAAUACUGCCCCCUGAGAUAGUCCCCAUAAAGUAGAACACGUCUUUCUUUUACUUCAUCCAGUGCUUUCUCUAGGAAUUUCGUGGUGCUUUAAUACUGUCCAUAGCACAUUCUAGAAAGCCAGGCAGAGGAAGCUUUCAUUAAUCAGCACCCGGUUUCUUUUUUUCAUACCACGAAACGGCCAUACCGUGGGCGGAACCACGUAACGCAAACUGCCUGCGAAGCUGGGGCAGUCGGCGGAGACGCGACCCAGGCUGGCCCGGCACCAGAAACCAGCGGCAGGUGCGCUGCGCGGCCCGCCACACUCAAGAUGGAGCGCGCGGCUCCCAGGCGCUCAGGGCUGGCCCGCCGCCUCCUCCCGCCCCGCCUGUCUCUGAUUGGAGGACACGGCCCACCGGCUUUGUUGUCUGCGCGGCUAUUGGCCAGCCGUCCGAUCAGUCGCGGCACCACCCCCGCUCCUCGGAACAAGUAAACAAACAAGCCUCUCGGCCCGGCGCCGGCGGCCUCGGCGAGCUCUGCCUGCCAGGUCGUUUGUGCUGCCGCGUCCGGAACCGGGCGGGCCGGGGGCAACGCUGUUUCGGUGGAAGAAGUGCUACUUUCGGCGACUUUCCAGGCAACUGAAGGAUGAGCCCCGCCCACAUUCUGCUGUUUUGCUGACGUUUUCAGUCCCGUGAACCGAGUUCCCUCCCUGUUGCAGAGUCACGGUGUUGGGACAAAAGGACUCCUGCGUCUCCUUUCCCAAGAACGCACCCGCCUGGUUCCUCGUCAAGGGGGCGCAGGCUCGCUCAGUGCCUCGGGGCUGGGGAGAGAGCUCGGCGCGGUCCAGGCCGGCCGCGGUCACCCUCCGAGUGGGACCUCCUAGUGGGCCCUGCACUGCGAGGUCAGCACCCUCCGAGUGGGACCUCCCAGUGGCAGCUCCUGGCACGUCUCUGGGGAGGCUGCGGCUGCCGGUCUUCCCCCUCCAACCCUGUGCUCCCCGCCUGUUCCUCACGCCUACUUCCUAUGCACUAUUACUACUUACACCCUUCCUUUCAAACAGUCCACUUUUUACGGUAUUAACUUUGCCACAAGCAGUCAUAAUGUUGUGGAGUUAUGAAUUUGAUGUGCUGCUUAGCACUUUCACCUCUGUGUAGCAGAUAUCAAACCUAAACAGAAGGUUUGCAUCCCGCACGUCACCGGCAACCCUGCCGGUUCCCCCGACGCCUGUCAUCGCUGUGUCAUGCGUGCCCCGAAUUGUGGCCAGCCUGGUGUUCCAGGAGAAUGCCUUCUGGCCGGUCACUCUCUGGCUAGACCUCCCCCAUUCACCUCUGGCCUAUCUGUCCCUUCCUGGCUGUGUCCAGACCACUGCCUCGCAGACCCUCUUGUCUUGCUGUGAAUACUCACUUAGCCAUGGACAACUAGUUGCCCUUUCUUUCUAGAACAAGUAUUCCUCUGGUUAACUUCAGUUCUUCCUUUAAUUGAGAAAAAAAUAAUAAAAACUUUUUUUUUUU
Marmota monax (woodchuck) is the source of this 2921-nucleotide long non-coding RNA. RefSeq lists it as uncharacterized. NCBI's taxonomy places the organism in Eukaryota, Metazoa, Chordata, Mammalia, Rodentia, Sciuridae. The record is from RefSeq and is a predicted model, not a curated record. The transcript has 2 exons.